UGCGUAGGCGGAUUUAUAAGUCAGUGGUGAAAUCCUGAAGCUUAACUUCAGAACUGCCAUUGAUACUGUAGAUCUUGAGUACGGUUGAGGUGGGCGGAAUGUGUCAUGUAGCGGUGAAAUGCUUAGAUAUGACACAGAACACCAAUUGCGAAGGCAGCUCGCUAAGCCGCUACUGACGCUAAUGCACGAAAGCGUGGGGAGCGAACAGGAUUAGAUACCCUGGUAGUCC
This 229-nucleotide ribosomal RNA is filed under the name uncultured bacterium. RNAcentral's name for it is "partial 16S ribosomal RNA". It matches the Rfam family "Bacterial small subunit ribosomal RNA", at positions 568 to 796 of the family's 1533-position model. The record is from RNAcentral.